This 72-nucleotide transfer RNA is filed under the name Mus musculus (house mouse). Its description in RNAcentral is "tRNA-Ser". The record is from RNAcentral. Lineage: Eukaryota; Metazoa; Chordata; Mammalia; Rodentia; Muridae.
GGUGAGAUGGCUCAGUGGGUAAGAGCACCCGACUGCUCUUCUGAAGGUCCUGAGUUCAAAUCCCAGCAACCA